Molecule: unclassified non-coding RNA, 754 nt
Filed under: Hevea brasiliensis (rubber tree)
Lineage: Eukaryota; Viridiplantae; Streptophyta; Magnoliopsida; Malpighiales; Euphorbiaceae
Source: RNAcentral
GAAGAAGUAGCACACGUAGGCAAUGAUAAGUUUCUUGUUACAACAUGGUAUCUGUUUUAGCAGGUAACCUCCGAAGGAAGUUUUGGGGCAGGGAAGGAAGUUUUGCCCUCAUCCUUGUAGGCCUCAUCACAUAAGUUCCCAUAAGGAUGAUCAAGUACCUCAAAGAAUACAAAUAUACCACAAACCCACCAAUCACACAAAAUACCAGAAACAUUAAGGUAGCUCUGGGAUCCCUCCAGCUCAGCACAGAAUGCACCCUCUCCAACUGAGUUGCCAAGUCGCCCAUCAUUGUCAUCAGCCUCCCUGCCAUGCUUCUCAAUUUAUCAUACCUUUUCUUUACAACUUCACCUGCCUUGGGCGUUGGAAAUGGAUCCAACUCAUCAGGAUGUGCGGUUUCAGCAUGGGAUAGUUUGGUAUCCAUGUGAGGUGGAUGUCUAGGCCUCUUUAGAUACCUCCAAACUCCAACCAUAAACAAGGAGAAAAAGCAUGCUGGUAGCAUUAGUCUUGGGGAGAUAACUAGGACAAGGAACCCCCAGUAAACUGCUAUUGUUGCUACCGGAUUCUUCCAUUGGCAUAUACUAUCAAACCAUUUCCAAAAUCCAACAAUACCACUCAAGCAUCUCAUAACUCUCUCACAGUUUGCUUUUCCUCUUCUCAGGCUCCGCAUGUUUGCACCUGUAUCCAGCAUAUACUCCACAACCUCCUUCUUCAGAGGUGGAUCGACACGUCCCAGCCUUAAACAGACAACUUAAAU